AAAGAAUGAUGCAAAACUAUUUUUGUGAUGUGUUCCUAAUAUGAAAUAUAAGUGUAUUGGGAAUAUUUUGCAUCCAUGGUUUUGUAUCAAUAAGUGGAAAAAAUA
This 105-nucleotide microRNA precursor is filed under the name Dasypus novemcinctus (nine-banded armadillo). RNAcentral's name for it is "miRNA (ENSDNOG00000027139.2)". The stretch from base 11 to 88 matches the Rfam family "mir-450 microRNA precursor family". The record is from RNAcentral. Lineage: Eukaryota; Metazoa; Chordata; Mammalia; Cingulata; Dasypodidae.